UUUUUUUUUUUUUUUUUUUUUUUUUACAGUUUAGGUCAUCCUGGCCAUCUUAAUGUUAGGAUCUCACAUAAAUUCAUUCUUUUUAUCCUCACAGCCAUCCUAUUGGGUAGGUACUGUUUAAUAUCGUUCCAUUUUAUAGACAAACAAAUUGAGACACACAUUGAUCCCCAGCCAGUGUUGAGUAGGGUUGAGCUUCUAAUACAAAUGUGUGGCGUGCCAGAGUCUGUUCCUAACCACACUCUGAUACUUUCUCUCAUGAUAAUAUACGUUGGAAUUUUUUCCCAAUAUGUGGAAAAAUACCUUCAUCUUUAUUCUCUGAUUCAAGUUUUGGGUUUUGGUUUUUGUUGUUGUUAUUGUUGCUUUUUUUUUUUUUUUUUUUUUUUUUUUGGUCUCAAAUGAGUAAUUCAAAUCCACAAAUAUUCCUUGAGCCUGGACUACACAUAAAACACCAUUUUAUGUGCUGUAACACAUUUGAUUUUAUCUUCAUUAAUGCAAUGUGUGGAAUAUGAUUUUAGAACGAGGGUAAUACUGUUAAAAUAGCUUCAUCUGGAAAUACAUCAGUUUGCAAACAGAUUGGCAUAUUAUCCACAAAUAUAAACAUUUACAAAAAAAAAAUCAGGCAUCAUUUGAUGGCUGUUGCCAUAAUGAUUCAUUGGCACAAGAGAAAUGCUACGUGAUGAGAGAUGCCAAAGCUGUUUGACACAUUUCAAUGGAGUUCAUUACACACAUGAAACAGAACCAAUUUUACUCAACAGUGACUUUGACAUUUACAGAAAAAUGAAAUGGAGGUUUAGAAAUGAAGACUUCAUGUGAAAUCUCUACCAAAAAUUGCAAAUUGGUUAUGUCCUUAUGCCACCACUUCUAGAUCAGCCAUGUUCUAUAGAUUUUUUAUUCACAGCAGGUGGCAACUUACUUAAAACAAAGUUUCUUGGUAGAUCAGAUAAUUGAUCUUGAACAAACUUAAUUGAUUGUAAAACUCUUCUCUCAGAAUAAAGAACAUAUAUAUUUUUAAAGAUUUACUUGUAGAAAGGCAUGUAUACCUUUGGCUUCGCUCUGAUUUCACAGUUCUGCUUCUUGAAUUUGCUGGGUUUUAAUGGAGUAAAUAUUUUCUUCAUGCCCACUGCACCCAAAGACUGUGGGACUAGAGCAAUUUCAGGUUUAGAGUUGGAAUGAGAAAUGUUCAAAAGUUGUAAACAACCAGUUGUUUUCUACUUCUUUAAUGAUAUAAUGUGAGAAAAUAUACCAAAACUUAAUAAGAGAAUUAUAAUACUUAUAUUCCCUUAAUAAGGGCAUUGUAUUAUUAAUGGGGUAUGCCGAUGGUUAGGAUGACUUAUGUGUAGACGAUAUUUUCAGAGAUGUUUUUUGUGAGCAGCAUCAUGCAAAAUACCAUCCUACAGCAUUUAUAUGCAAUGCCAUUUAUUUGAAGAAACAAUUUCCUACCAGAUUUUAAAACAUUCUCUUACUAUGGUAAAUGGUUAAAGUAUAUUAAUAAUGUUGCUUAUUAAAUGCUUACUGUGCUUUCAAUGCCCAGGUUAAAGUUCUGCAUACCAAAGAAUGAAUGUGCUUGAUCUAAUUUGUAAGCCUAGAUAGUAUUCUAGUAUCAUUGCACUGAUUAGAAUUAAUCAAGAAUACUAGAACAAAUGUAUGCUAAGUCUGAAUUCUAAAACUUUAAAGUAAUUAUAUUGCUUUUAAAUCUGCCUAGUAUUUACUUAUUUGUUUGUCUGUAAAAAGUAUAAUAAAAUCAGUAUCUCAAACCUAGAUAACACAGUUGAGUCAUUUAGACUAUUAUCAAACAUAAGUCACUAGAGAAGCGAUUCAAUCAAUAGAGAAGUUUUCUAAUUAGCAUAUUAAUUAUUUGCAAAUAAAAGGUGGUUUCAGAGUACUCCAGGGAACUUGAAUACAUUGCAGUUUGUCUUUUUAUUCUAUAUAUCCCUAUGAAAUAUUUCUACAUUGUUAAUUUCCAACAAUCUAAGGGAAAAGGUUUUGCUAAUCAAAGGAAAACUUUACCCCAGCUUCUGCAUUAAUUAUCACAUAUUCUAAACUGGUAGAUCAUGAAUUAAUGAGGUCUAGGCUCCUCCUAAAUGACAUGGAUUAAAUAAGAGCUGGACUUGACCAUGUAUGUAUUCUUGUGAAGAUGGAAGUAUAUGUGCAUAUUGGCUGAAUAAAGUUACAAAGUAUACAAUUAACCCUGUGUGGGCCUUACCCCCCUAUCCAUAAACAUCUUAAUUACCUUCUACACAUCACUGAAAAGGGGCUACUGUAAAGAUGCAAACUAUUUUUUCUGGAUCAAUCAUUUCUGCACAUCGAAUUUCAGAGUAUACAAAUGACUGCCUAUAAGAAACAGAAAUUCCCUCCAAAAAGCCAGAUGCCAGCAAAAAAGAAAAUAAGAAGUAGAGGUGUGAUCUAUUAAGUAAUCUUUUAAGUCUGUUGCUAAACGAUCAUUAGGCUGCAAUUAGGCAGUUCAAGUUUUAUUUUUAUAGAGUUUUUGAUAUUUCUAAAUGACUUGCUCUGAGUGCCAUGAGGGGAUGGUGGCGUAAAGGUCCAAUAUCCACUUUGUUUUGCGUUCUUUCCCCUCCCACUCUCUAAUCUUCUAGUUCUUUCCUGAUUGAAUACCACACCUGCUAUUUUAAAAUUCACUAUGUGUGCCCUACUUCUUUGUCCUUUUGAUUUACUUCUUGACGUCCACAAAAUGACCCAGCACAGUUGAUUACUACUUGCCAUGUAGUUCCCCUGUAUUUGGACUGCUCAGAAUUCAGCAGCUUCACCAUAUUUCUCAAAGUUAUGCUACACGGGGGCCCUUUCCCUCCUUGACCUAUGGCCAUUUUGCCUCCUAAGAAUCCUGUAUUUUGCAUCUGAGGUUUUGCUUGUAAUAUUUUUUUCAUCAUAUUUUUUAGAUUAAGUAAAGUCUAAAAUAUAUAUACAUCAUUCAUUCCUCAUUCACUUAAACUUUAUCAAAUUCUUAUCCCAUGUAGCAUUAGAAUAAUAACAGCAUGUUAAUUAUAAGAAGACACAUUUGUCCAGUACCAUUUUUACAAGGUCAAAAUUACUACCUUGAAACUGGUUCUGAUUUUUUAAGAUUUUAUUUAUUUAUUCAUGAGAGACACAGAAAGAGACAUAGGCAGAGAGAGAAGUAGGCUCCAUGCAGGGAGCCUGAUGUGGGACUCGAUCCUGGGACUUCAGGAUCACACCCUGAGCUGUAGGCAGAGGCUCAACCACUGAGCCACCCAGGUGUCCCAUGGUUCUGAUUUUUUUUUUCAUGUGAAUGAAGUAAAGAUGAUUUUUAAAAUCUUAACAUAACAAAAUGGAAAGGGAAAAAAACACAGAUUCUAUGAAUGAAUCCAUCCUCCAGUGAACUUUCCUUUUUGCCCACAUUCUUCAUGCAGCCAGCAGGCAUAAAGCUUCCACCUUCUCUGUUUUUACACUACGACUGUGAAAUCCCGAAUUGAAGUCUACACAGAGGAAAAAGAUCAACAAAUGGCAUAAUUCUGAUUUUUAAAGUGCUUCUAUUUUUUAAUUUUAAAAUAAUUUGUUUCGCUCAGAAAUGCUUGUAGAAAAAUGUUCAAGCAGAAGAGGGAAACCUAUGCUAUCUUUUGCAGACUCUUGUGGUGUGCUGUAGAUGGAUUCUUCAUGCAUCACAGUAACAAUAGCAAUAGUGAUAACAAUAGUUAUAAUAAUAAUAGCAGCUGAUACCUAUUAAUACCUUACUAAAUGCCAGGCACUGUUAUAAGUGCUGUGCAUGUAAUGACUUAAUCCCUACAACACCCUAUGAGGUAGUCACUAUCAUUAUCCUCAUUUACAGAAGAAACUAAGGUACGGUGAGAUUAAGCAGUUCACAGCAACUAACAGAGCCUGGAUUUAAACCCAGGCAGUCUGGCUCCAGCACUGACAAUCUUCACCACUGGCAAUCCUGCCUAUCACGAAGUAUUAAAUAAGAAUUGCUAAGUUAUACAUUCAAUAGUCCAGAGUUCGUUGGAGUUUUUUAAACUAUGAUUUUCACACAGAAGUCUAUCCCUCUAAAAAGCUAACACUAAAUAUGAGUGGAUCACAGUAAUUUUAGUAAUUUUGCAUAUUGAGUUUUUAACAAGGACACACCCUGCCAAGCUGAUACAAAAUGAGCUGGGUGAUGGCAAAUCUAGAUGUUCUAACACACUUAGAAACACUGCUUAAAUUUGCAUCACUUUAAAAGCUCAUUACCAACUAAGCAAAAAAAAAAAAAGAAAGAGAAAGAAAGAGAGAGAGAGAGAGAG
Molecule: long non-coding RNA, 4247 nt
Filed under: Canis lupus familiaris (dog)
Lineage: Eukaryota; Metazoa; Chordata; Mammalia; Carnivora; Canidae
Description: lncRNA (ENSCAFG00845002824.1)
Source: RNAcentral